GUUCGUGCUGAAGGCCUGUUUCCUAGGCUACAAACGGAGGACUGGUUCCUCGUUCCUUUGCCUAGGGGAAAGUCCCCGGACCUUGGGCAGAGAGUGCCACGUGCAUAAGCACGUAGACUUUACCCGCGUUUCACGCUUAGUCCGCCAAGAAGCUCCACCUGGCAGGUGGAGAGCUGAGCGGCGUGUGAGCGGGACGUCAUCCGUCAGCUUAUCUAGUAACGCAGGCAGUGCGUCCGUACGCACCAACCUCACGGGGCUCAUUCUCAGCGCAGC
This is a ribozyme of Heterocephalus glaber (naked mole-rat), 273 nucleotides long. It matches the Rfam family "RNase MRP". Rfam says of the family: RNase MRP is an enzymatically active ribonucleoprotein with two distinct roles in eukaryotes. In mitochondria it plays a direct role in the initiation of mitochondrial DNA replication. In the nucleus it is involved in precursor rRNA processing, where it cleaves the internal transcribed spacer 1 between 18S and 5.8S rRNAs. NCBI's taxonomy places the organism in Eukaryota, Metazoa, Chordata, Mammalia, Rodentia, Bathyergidae. The record is from Ensembl.